UAAUCACAUCACAUGGAAAUUAGCCAGUGGAGUCACCGAACCCCCGAUGAGUCGUCCUCCCACAUGGCUCAUCCUCUCACAUGUGCACCAGGGAGCCGAUCCCCCAUACUGGCCGACCGGUCUAAUCCUCACUUGACCAGCCCUCUCAUGAUUUUUCUAUCCUCUCUUUUCUUUUUCAUACCAACAGGAGGCGACCCGGUGGUCUCCAUCCAAUCUAGAUCAUCA
RNAcentral lists this long non-coding RNA (225 nucleotides) under Jatropha curcas. RNAcentral's name for it is "long non-coding RNA (JCUR_LNC001823)". Lineage: Eukaryota; Viridiplantae; Streptophyta; Magnoliopsida; Malpighiales; Euphorbiaceae. The record is from RNAcentral.